Gigantopelta aegis is the source of this 571-nucleotide long non-coding RNA. RefSeq lists it as uncharacterized. The record is from RefSeq and is a predicted model, not a curated record. Lineage: Eukaryota; Metazoa; Mollusca; Gastropoda; Neomphalida; Peltospiridae. The transcript is spliced from 2 exons.
UAACGCAAACCAGCACGUUUUAUUAGAUGCAGCUAUAUUCUUAGUUUAUUUUUACUGGUCUUAAAUGGUAUAUUUUUUGUAUGUAUAUUACAAUGUCUAUUGCCAAAACCUCGAUAUUUUAACAUAAUGGGAAAUUCAACAGUUAUCAUAGGGAGACCAGUUUCGUUGCGGUGCAGACUUGAACGAAAAAUUGUCCAAUGAGCCCACCGAUGGGGAUCGAUCCCAAUCCGACCACGCAUCAAGCAAGCGCUUUACUACUGGACUAUAUCACGGCCCGGCCCGUACAUAGGAACGACAUCUGAAGGAUAUGCGUGCCAGAUUUUGAUUUUUAUUGACAAGAGGACAAAAACAUUUACAAAGAUCAAGAUAAAUUGCAGUUCUUAACCCAGUCUUCAUAACUUUAUUUUUUAAAUUUCCAUUAUAGUGUAAAAUUCCAAGAAAUACAACCGCAGUGUCGUCCAACCGAGAUCAGUUUACUCUGUAAUUAUAUUACUUCCCCAUCAUUGACCUCUUCAAUGAAGUGUUGAUGUCCAUCUUUUUUAUCAGUUGGUGGGAGUCGUUUGUUUUAAUA